CAGUCGCCACGGUAACACGUAGGGUGCAAGCGUUAAUCGGAAUUACUGGGCGUAAAGCGUGCGCAGGCGGUUUUGUAAGACAGAGGUGAAAUCCCCGGGCUCAACCUGGGACCUGCCUUUGUGACUGCAAGGCUGGAGUGCGGCAGAGGGGGAUGGAAUUCCGCGUGUAGCAGUGAAAUGCGUAGAUAUGCGGAGGAACACCGAUGGCGAAGGCAAUCCCCUGGGCCUGCACUGACGCUCAUGCACGAAAGCGUGGGAAGCAAACAGGAUUAGAUACCCCAGUAGUCCCUGUCUCUUAUAC
This 301-nucleotide ribosomal RNA is filed under the name uncultured bacterium. RNAcentral's name for it is "partial 16S ribosomal RNA". It matches the Rfam family "Bacterial small subunit ribosomal RNA", at positions 509 to 807 of the family's 1533-position model. The record is from RNAcentral.